MicroRNA precursor from Gallus gallus (chicken), 86 nucleotides. The record is from Ensembl. NCBI's taxonomy places the organism in Eukaryota, Metazoa, Chordata, Aves, Galliformes, Phasianidae.
UGGCCGGCGGCUCGGCUCGGCUCCGCUCACACCAGGAGCAGCGGCUCGGCGUGGUGGGAGUGGAGCGGAGCUGUCCGCCGUAGCCG